Molecule: microRNA precursor, 220 nt
Filed under: Arabidopsis lyrata
Lineage: Eukaryota; Viridiplantae; Streptophyta; Magnoliopsida; Brassicales; Brassicaceae
Description: miR394a stem-loop (aly-MIR394a)
Gene: aly-MIR394a
Rfam family: MIR394 microRNA precursor family (bases 55-163)
Source: miRBase by way of RNAcentral
UAGAUUGGAUCUUUAAACUUUUGUUCCUUUUCAUGAGGGUUUGACAAAGAGUUUCUUACAGACAUCUUUGGCAUUCUGUCCACCUCCUCCUGUACAUGUGUGUAUAUAUAUGUGUUUUGUGUGGAAGAAGGAGGUGGGUAUACUGCCAAUAGAGAUCUGUUAGGGUUUCUUCGUAAAACCCUCUUGAUCUAUAUACAACUUUAUCAAUGUCUUGAAUCUG